This 490-nucleotide ribosomal RNA is filed under the name uncultured bacterium. RNAcentral describes it as "partial 16S ribosomal RNA". It matches the Rfam family "Bacterial small subunit ribosomal RNA", at positions 30 to 507 of the family's 1533-position model. The record is from RNAcentral.
AUUGAACGCUGGCGGCAGGCCUAACACAUGCAAGUCGAACGGUAACAGGAAACAGCUUGCUGUUUCGCUGACGAGUGGCGGACGGGUGAGUAAUGUCUGGGAAACUGCCUGAUGGAGGGGGAUAACUACUGGAAACGGUAGCUAAUACCGCAUAACGUCGCAAGACUAAAGAGGGGGACCUUCGGGCCUCUUGCCAUCGGAUGUGCCCAGAUGGGAUUAGCUAGUAGGUGGGGUAACGGCUCACCUAGGCGACGAUCCCUAGCUGGUCUGAGAGGAUGACCAGCCACACUGGAACUGAGACACGGUCCAGACUCCUACGGGAGGCAGCAGUGGGGAAUAUUGCACAAUGGGCGCAAGCCUGAUGCAGCCAUGCCGCGUGUAUGAAGAAGGCCUUCGGGUUGUAAAGUACUUUCAGCGGGGAGGAAGGGAGUAAAGUUAAUACCUUUACUCAUUGACGUUACCCGCAGAAGAAGCACCGGCUAACUCCGUG